AAACGGACGCUAAUACCGCAUGACAUAUCGUUAUGGCAUCAUGAUGAUAUCAAAGGAGGAAUCCGCUUUGAGAUGGACUCGCGUCCAAUUAGCUAGUUGGUGAGGUAACGGCCCACCAAGGCGACGAUUGGUAGCCGGACUGAGAGGUUGAACGGCCACAUUGGGACUGAGACACGGCCCAGACUCCUACGGGAGGCAGCAGUGGGGAAUAUUGCACAAUGGGGGGAACCCUGAUGCAGCGACGCCGCGUGAGGGAAGACGGUCUUCGGAUUGUAAACCUCUGUCUUUAGGGACGAAAAAAUGACGGUACCUAAGGAGGAAGCCACGGCUAACUAC
This 336-nucleotide ribosomal RNA is filed under the name uncultured bacterium. RNAcentral's name for it is "bacterial SSU rRNA". It matches the Rfam family "Bacterial small subunit ribosomal RNA", at positions 154 to 504 of the family's 1533-position model. The record is from RNAcentral.